UAAAGAUUCAUCGCUGAUAGAUAGGCAUGCGUUCCAUUAGGCAGUUGGCGGGGUAACGGCCCACCAAACCGACGAUGGAUAGGGGUUCUGAGAGGAAGGUCCCCCACAUUGGUACUGAGACACGGACCAAACUCCUACGGGAGGCAGCAGUGAGGAAUAUUGGUCAAUGGGCGUAAGCCUGAACCAGCCAAGUCGCGUGAGGGAUGAAGGUUCUAUGGAUCGUAAACCUCUUCUAUAAGGGAAUAAAGUGUGGGACGUGUCCUAUUUUGUAUGUACCUUAUGAAUAAGGAUCGGCUAACUCCGUGCCAGCAGCCGCGGUAAUACGGAGGAUCCGAGCGUUAUCCGGAUUUAUUGGGUUUAAAGGGUGCGUAGGCGGCCUUUUAAGUCAGCGGUGAAAGUCUGUGGCUCAACCAUAGAAUUGCCGUUGAAACUGGGGGGCUUGAGUAUGUUUGAGGCAGGCGGAAUGCGUGGUGUAGCGGUGAAAUGCUUAGAUAUCACGCAGAACCCCGAUUGCGAAGGCAGCCUGCCAAGCCAUGACUGACGCUGAUGCACGAAAGCGUGGGGAUCAAACAGGAUUAGAUACCCUGGUAGUCCACGCAGUAAACGAUGA
Molecule: ribosomal RNA, 610 nt
Filed under: uncultured bacterium
Lineage: Bacteria
Description: bacterial SSU rRNA
Rfam family: Bacterial small subunit ribosomal RNA
Source: RNAcentral